AUGUCCAUGUGCUGGCGGUGGAGGAGGCGGAGGACGGCUCAACUCGAGGUGGCUCAUCCUUGCGUCAGGGUCGUCGACGGGGAUCAAUUGACCACCGGCAUGCAGCGGCUCAGGUCCGGACUGCUGCGCAGCCAUGGGGCCAUGGCCAGGCGGAUCCACAACGCCUGGGUCAACGAGAGCGUCGUCCUAGACAUCUACUCCUUCAACACGCUGAUCCGGGGCUGCGGGCAGGUGAUCUGGAGCGUGCACGGAAGGUGUUCGAUGGUCCAUUCUUUGGGCAGUUAUAAAGAAAAGUGUGGAUUAUGCUAUUCUCUGUUCCGAUUCUUGCACCUGUUGGUUUUUUACUUUCAGAGCUCUGGAAAAUAUGAGAUGAACUUACCUAACAUGCAGAAACCUGGAUGCAGGAAGGGCUCUGCGGUAGAUCGAUCAAGGGAUUGGAGCAGCGAAAAAGAAAAUGAAGGAACAGAUGGAUGA
Molecule: ribosomal RNA, 474 nt
Filed under: Triticum aestivum (bread wheat)
Lineage: Eukaryota; Viridiplantae; Streptophyta; Magnoliopsida; Poales; Poaceae
Description: partial small subunit ribosomal RNA
Source: RNAcentral